Arabidopsis thaliana (thale cress) is the source of this 238-nucleotide long non-coding RNA. RefSeq annotates it as other RNA. The transcript has a single exon. NCBI's taxonomy places the organism in Eukaryota, Viridiplantae, Streptophyta, Magnoliopsida, Brassicales, Brassicaceae. The record is from RefSeq.
UUUUAAUUGAAAGACGAAGAGGAUAAUAAUUAAAGAAUGAGAGUAGAAAAGGAACUGACUUUGAUGAGAAGGAUGAGGAGAGCGGCCGAUGCCUUGAAGUUCUUUAGCGGGCAAAGAUGGCAACAAAGCAGCUUCCAAAAUCGUCGUCACGCAAGCCAUAAUAUUCUAUUGUGAUAAUGUUUUCCAAAGCUUGACUAUAAUCAUCUUCUAUAUACAAUCCAUUGAAGCAAAAAUUAUU